RNAcentral lists this unclassified non-coding RNA (858 nucleotides) under Hevea brasiliensis (rubber tree). Lineage: Eukaryota; Viridiplantae; Streptophyta; Magnoliopsida; Malpighiales; Euphorbiaceae. The record is from RNAcentral.
GUUAAGUCAUGAAACAAAAAUGCCUUGCAAUAAUUAAUAAAAAGCAAAAUACAUAGCAUCCUGACUGCAGUUUGUCACCAAAGAAGAUGGAUCACACAAAACACGCAACCAAAAUUCCUGUGAACUCAACAGAGUUUCAGCGCAAAACCUUAUUCAGUACUCUGAUGCACGAGAGACUCGCUAGCCAGCCUCACAACUGCAACUAUAUAUCACUCACUAUUAGCCACUCAGUUCUGGGCUACUUCAAUGAGGGUUGGCUCGUAGUCGGCGGGAGCCUCGAACCCGUGGAGAUUCAUCACAGUGGCAGCAACAUUUGCGAGGCCGGGAGUGCCUGGAACAUCAGAUCGGAACCUGGUUCCAGGUGUAAGGCCUGGGCCGCCGAUGGCGAUUGGGACCGGCUGAAGCGUAUGGGAAGUGAGGAUUUGAAUGUUGCCAGCUUUAUCGAGAAGCGGCUGGCCGGUUUUGUUCCUCUUUACCAUGUCCUCACAAUUUCCGUGAUCAGCAGUGACAACGUAGAUACCACCCACUUGUUCUAUGGCAUCAAGAAUUAUCUUGACAGCUUCAUCAGCAGCCUUGCAACUCACGACGGUGGCUUCGAUGUCCCCUGUAUGCCCCACCAUGUCUCCAUUCGGUAUGUUAACACGCACCUGAUCGAACUUGCGACUGAGAAUGGCAUCUCUUGCUUUCUCAGCAAUCUCCAAGGCUUUCAUCUUCGGUUUAACAUUGAAUGUAAUUCCGCUGUCGCUGGGAAUUUCAACAUACUCUUCCAAGGCUUCGUUGAAGUACCCAGACCGAUUUCCAUUCCAGAAAAAGGUAACAUGACCGAAUUUGACAGUCUCGCUGCAAGCAAAAGUCCGA